UGAGGAAUCUUGCGCAAUGGGUGAGAGCCUGACGCAGCCACGCCGCGUGGAGGAAGACACCCCGCAGGGGCGUAAACUCCUUUUGCGUGGGAAGAACUCCCGGACUUCGGUCCGGGCUGACGGUACCACGAGAAUAAGCACCGGCUAACUCCGUGCCAGCAGCCGCGGUAAUACGGAGGGUGCAAGCGUUGUCCGGAAUCACUGGGUGUAAAGGGUGUGCAGGCGGGCUGGCAAGUCAGAGGUGAAAGCCCACGGCUCAACCGUGGAAUGGCCCCUGAUACUGCCAGUCUUGAGUCCCAGAGAGGUCGCUGGAAUUCGUGGUGUAGCGGUGAAAUGCGUAGAUAUCACGAGGAACAUCAGAGGCGAAAGCGAGCGACUGGAUGGGUACUGACGCUCAGGCACGAAAGCGUGGGGAGCAAACAGGAUUAGAUACCCCCGUAGUCC
This 444-nucleotide ribosomal RNA is filed under the name uncultured prokaryote. RNAcentral's name for it is "bacterial SSU rRNA". It matches the Rfam family "Bacterial small subunit ribosomal RNA", at positions 355 to 796 of the family's 1533-position model. The record is from RNAcentral.